CCUACGGGGGGCUGCAGUAGGGAAUUUUGCGCAAUGGGCGAAAGCCUGACGCAGCAACGCCGCGUGAUUGAUUAAGCCCUUCGGGUUGUAAAGUUCUUUCAGUGGGUACGAAACUUAACGUUACCCACAGAGUAAGCACCGGCUAACUCCGUUCCAGCAGCCGCGGUCAUACGGGGGGUACAAGCGUUGUUCGAAAUCAUUGGGCGGAAAGAGUUCGUAGGUGGCGUAGUAAGUCUGGUGUCAAAUGCAUAAGCUCAACUUCUGUUCGGCACUGGAUACUGGUAAGCUUGAAUGCGAUAGAGGUAAACGGAAUUCCUGGUGUAGCGGUGAAAUGCGUAGAUAUCAGGAGGAACAUCGGUGGCGUAAGCGCUUUACUGGGCCGUAAUUGACACUGAGGAACGAAAGCCGGGGUAGCAAAUGGGAUUAGAUACCCUUGUAGUC
This 441-nucleotide ribosomal RNA is filed under the name uncultured bacterium. Its description in RNAcentral is "partial 16S ribosomal RNA". It matches the Rfam family "Bacterial small subunit ribosomal RNA", at positions 338 to 795 of the family's 1533-position model. The record is from RNAcentral.